AUUCCUGCUUGUGGCCCGCGCAGGGGCGGGGUCGGAAGGUCUAGGCCGGGCGCGGAGCGAGGAAGCGGGUGGCGCUGGGACGCAUGCUCUGGGGGAGAUGAGUAUAAUGACCCGCGUUUGUCCGCCGCCCGUGCCCCGCUCAAUCCCCGCAUCAAUCCCGUGAGGCCGUUUCUCCCGUUGGCUCCACUGUACCGGGGGCUGAGGCCCAGGGAGGUCUCGCGGCUCCCUAGGUUAUCCAGCUAGUAAGAGGCGAAGCUGGAAUUCUCACUGUGGGCCCAUUCCAUGGCUUUUGCCAGAGCGCCAGGGACACACUCAGUUCACCUUCUAGCAGGGAAGACCCAAAGAUGCGCGCCCCUGGCAGCCAGGGCGUCGGACCAGGCAAUUCCUACUGUCCAGCAUCACCUCCUCCAGGCCUCUCGGAUGCCUCUGUUGGGACAGCUAAGUUCCUCUUCAAAGACUCAAUUUCCUGGUCAUAAGCUGUAAACAGAUUCUACUCCCGCUUUUUCUUCUUUGUCGCACGUCUACCCUAUUUGGGAAAGUUUAAACCUUAGCCAAUCGGGAUCAGCUCAGAUUGUGCGGUCCAACCCCCCAGCCAAUGGGGAAAGGACACAGAAACAGGAACUGCGUUAGGGUUAAAAACCACUUCCCUCCUUUGUUGGCGGGUGCUCUUGGGAUUGCAACCAGCGCAAGCAGCACCCUUCUGCAGAAGUAAAGAUGCCUUGCUGGGAAGUCUUCUGUCUCAGUGCUGGUUUUUCUUGACUACACUGAGCACUUGUUUUCAACAAAUUUGAGGGUCUUCUGGGAUCCCAUUCUCCUUUGGGAGGGGUAGCGAUUACUUUUCCUCGUGAGACACGUCCCACUGCCUUGUUGCAGUGGCCCAAGGAGCGGAGGAUCGGGUCCACCCAAAGUGAGGAAUAAAUCCGGACUUUCAGCAACGUGGGCAGGAAGGAGCCUUAAAAUUCCCAGGCAAGUGGGUAACUCUGUGCACAGACCAAGCCGCCGACGGGACCAUCACAAAAGCUUUACAAGGCCUUACCACCCUGGCAAAUGAAUUAGCCGAAAAUUCUGGACUAGAUAACCCUUUUAUGGGUCUCAUGGAAAAGUGGUUUGGAAAAUGGAAAGGACUCCUGGCUUCAAUCUUUACCUCUCUUGCAAUUGUAACAAGUGUACUUAUCCUUGUGGGCUGCCGCAUCAUACCUUGUAUUCGUGGGUUAACUCAAAGGCUCAUAGAAACAGCCCUCACUAAAGCCUUCCUCUCUUCUCUCCCUCCAUACUUGGACAAGCUCUUGCUCCUGGAUAAUCAAGAAGAACAACGAAGCCAAAUCCUGUUAAAAUUUUUUGCAGAGGAAGAAGUAUCAAAUAGAAGAGAGGAAAUUGUUGGGACAGCUAAGCUCUUCAAAGACUCAACUUCCUGGUCAUAAACUUCUCCCCGUUUUUCUUCUUUUUCGCCAGUCUACCCUGUUUGGGAAAGUUUAAACCUUAGCCAGUCGGGAUCAGCUCAGAUUGUGCAGUCCAUCCCCAGUCAAUGGGGAAAGGACACAGAAACAGGAACUGCGUUAGGGUUAAAAAGCCCUUCUCUCCUUUGUUUGGGGUGCUCUUGCGAUUACAAGCUGCGCAAGUAGCACCGUUCUGAAGUAAAGAUGCCUUGCUGGGAAA
This 1656-nucleotide long non-coding RNA is filed under the name Homo sapiens (human). RNAcentral's name for it is "non-protein coding lnc-PPP4C-10:3". The record is from RNAcentral. Lineage: Eukaryota; Metazoa; Chordata; Mammalia; Primates; Hominidae.